GAUGUUUCCUUGUGGGCCAGAUACAGAGGGAGGAGCUGAACUUCAGCUUCCCAUGGCAAAUCACAGCUCUCGGAGAGCUGUAUAUGUCAGUCUGAAACUAAUGCUAGAGCAAACCAUUCAGUCAGACCAACUGUGGACACCAAUUUCCAAAACACAAAGUCAGAAGGAACCAUCAGCUAUAUCAAAUAGAAAAUGGACACACGGAAGUUUCAGCAGCUCAUCAGUCUUACUUCUACAUUGAAGUGCUGGAAUUUCAUUCUCGUACUUUUGGGUGUUGACCUCUCAAACCUUUAUUUAUUUUAUCUAUCUCCUGACCUCAAACCUUCUGAGUUUUGUACUUGCCAAACAGCCAACGAACAGGCUUAGAUUUGUUAUUAUUUGUUUAGAAACUGUUCAGCUCAGAUGCACAUAGCAUAAUGUGAUGGCACCACUCCCAUUCCUCGCUGAAAUACUCACUUGAUUCCUGAAAUGGUACUCUGCAUUUCAGCUACCGGUCAGAUCAAAAGAGGGAAAGAGGAGGAAGUCAGAUAAUUAUUCUUGAUGUAAGUAGGAUUAGAGAAAUUUAGAAAACACAAUGCCUUUUAUUUUGUGCCUUCUGCAAGGAUAUUCCUUUCCAGCUAGAUAGUUUUAAAAGUGCCUUGAUUUCCUCCUCUCUUUGAAAGAGUGUGGAAUCACAGACUAUGCUGUUACGUAUAACACUCAGUCUUUUUACACUCUGAACACCUCUGAUCGGAACAUACCAAUGUACAAUGACGUAGAGAAGAAUUUACAACACCCCUAUGGAAUUCAUCCCAGCAUCAGUGAAGUCAGAGUGUGAUUUACCACUGAAGUUGAUAGCCCUGGAUUGCAGCCAGGUAAUGUAAAAUGGACUUAGAGGCGUGCUCAGCACAAAGGUAUGUCCUUGAGAAAGCAGGUUAAUGCAAGCAAGAGCUGCCCUCUGGAACUUCAUGCAGCCCAACACUUGGAUAUCUGCAGGAAAUGAACACGAGUGGGAAAGUAUCUGUGAUGGAGAAGGGACUUGGAUUACUCUAAGGGUGGAAAUGAAAUAAGGCCUGGACAGACUGGAGAAGGCUUCAGACACAGAACAAAUCGAGGGCUGCCAAUCAUUGUCUGACCCAAAGAAAGAAGCUGUGUAUCUCCAGGGUGAGGACACAGAUCACAGAGCUGAUGAGAUAAAGGGAAGAAGCCAAUGAAGAGUCACAAAGAGAGUGAGUUGGCCAAUGGGGAUUGCUACUCAUACUAGCUGCAAACCUGAGGUUAUCUGAAUCACAGGAAUGAAACAAAGAAGUGGAUUUCCUCACAAAAGAUGAAACCAAUCCUUACAAAUACAGAGGCUGUACUUUUAAAAUCUGUUUCAAAAAAGACAAUUUAGAUAAACAGCUGACAGCAUGAUCAUUAGAAGUUGUUUUAUGCUUUGAGGAAUCAGAUCUCCAGAAGGUAUAUGCUUAAUAGGGCAGUUUCAAAGACUGCAUAAUCCAUACCUCUUUCAUGAACAGGCCUUUUGAGCUGCAACAGCAGUGCAGUUUUAGACCGAAUCCCUUCACUGAUGUGAAGAGGAUAUUAUUGCACACUACAGGUAGAAUAAAACCAUAACAAACUUCCUCAGAAAGCUACAAUUUGGAAGCAGUGUUUUUAUUACUUUCAUUCAUGAAUGUUUUAUUCUUACUACUCACAGACCAUAUAUAUCCAUCAAAAUGUCCUCGUAUAUAAUGAAAAUCUGAAACUACUAAAAUCAUCCAAUCCUAAAAAAGAAACAUAGGCAUGAAAUUGCUGAGAUGUCUGUCAUACACAGCUUUAAAUGGACCUUGCUCUGUGACUUUUAUUUUCUGUCAAAAUUUUACACUGCUUAAUUUCACUAAUGUGCUGAUGGAGUAUCAGUUUGGAAACCUGAAAAUUCACAUCUUUUCAAUGAAAUAUUCACCCCAGGACAUAAUAUCAGAAGAUGGUUGGAAAUAGUUGGGAGUGGGAACUGGCUUUAAGGUCCCUUUCAACCAAAGACAUUCUAUAAUUCUAUAAGAUAAUCACAAGUAAUAUCAAACAAAUCAGCUUUGCAUUUUAUGACCUGCUUCAAUACCUGCUGAAUCUGAUGGCACCAAGUUGGCUCAUGCUGAAGCUGUAAAUCUGAUCCUGCUAGAAUCAAGAGAUCUUCUCCCAAGGCUGCUGUGCUGCACAGCUCCUCAUUAAGGUCUGUCGUGGUUUCAAAAGAUGAUGGAAAGCUCUUUCACAUAUUGCUGGGAUGCUUACAGUUUCUUGGAAUAUAAAAGUUUAACAGUAUUUGUAAAAAUAUAGAUCAGCAAUAAUUAGCAUAGAUGUUGACUAAUGCUCAGGCAAAUGAUCAGAAGAGUUUAACUGAUGGGCAUGGAUAAUAAAAUCCCAACAUUUAAUUAAUGCUACAGCAAUGGCAAAUUGAGUCUGAGGCAUCUAGCUGAGAUACUGCUCAGCAUCAGUAUCAGGGCUGUCAGGCAAAAAGAUUUGGUGGAGUUUGUAUACAAGUGCAAUGAUCAAAAGCCAGAGAUGGAAAUAAUACAGGUACAAUAAACCCAGUUCUCCACAAGCAUAUUGAUAAUUUUCACAGGGUAGAAGACAUCAUUUUUGGUUACUUUGCAAUGUAAGUGAGGAGCAUCAAGUCAGUGGUUUGAACUUGCCCAAAACAGCAAGAAAAAAUUAUGAAGUGAUUAAUAGGGAAAAUAUUAGCAUAGCAGGAAGGAGAAAGGAAAUGUCGUGUUAAGUCUGAAGUGUAGAUGAAUGUUUCCUGGACGCUAGCCAAGUUCACUCAUCAGUUUGAUAGUACAAAAAAAAGGAUUGUUUUGAAUUUUUUGUCACAUAUUUAUCACUCUUCCAUUUCAUAAGAUAUAUGCUAAAGAACAGAGUGGAUUGGUUCCUCUAGGACCAAGAUGCUUUGACUUCUAAAUAAAGCAAUGAUGAAAAACAGCUUUCAAAGAAUAUUUCUCUUUGAAGACAGUAUAUGUGGGGGAUACACAAGAAAAAAAAAAGAUUAAUUGCUCCCCCAAACACCGCAAUAACACAAUGUUUAACAAUGGAAAAGUUUGACUUGGAGCAGAUUAAUUACCUUCUAGCAGCUUUAAAUUAAAAUAGAUAAGCUGUUCCUUCCCUAAAGUUUUGAGCUGGGUUCUCAAAUGUUAUGAUUUAUAACCGAUCUAGUCAUUGUUUUUCCUCAUAGUCAUUGUUUUUCCUCGUCUGCUCCAUGUAGCUGAAUGCUUUAAAGUACUGGAAUUACUUUUGUGCUGUAUACAAAGCAGAAUAUUGCCAUAUCCAAUAGCAAGCAAAAGACUUAUUAUCAGUUGGUUCCCAUGCCAUUAGCUAGAAUUAUAUUCUACCAUUGCUUCUGCCUCCUAUACACAUUUUAAAAAAUUUUCACCUGUCAUAUUCGAGACAAAAUUUCAC
Molecule: non-coding RNA, 3405 nt
Organism: Meleagris gallopavo (turkey)
Lineage: Eukaryota; Metazoa; Chordata; Aves; Galliformes; Phasianidae
Source: RefSeq, a predicted model, not a curated record